GGGACUAGUUUGUAGGAGGGGAGGGUAGGGGUUAAGGGACUAGUUUGUAGGAGGGUAGGGGUUAAGGAAGGGGACUAGUCUGGGAGGGUAGGGUUUGAGGAAGGGGACUAGUUUGAGGAAGGGGACUAGUUUGUAGGAGGGUAGGGUUUGAGGAAGGGGACUAGUUUGAGGAAGGGGACUAGUUUGUAGGAGGGUAGGGUUAAGGAAGGGGAAUAGUUUGUGGGAGGGUAGGGGUUAAGGAAGGGGACUAGUGUGUAGGAGGGUAGGGGUUAAGGAAGGGGACUAGUUUGUAGGAGGGUAGGGGUUAAGGAAGGGGACUAGUUUGUGGGAGGGUAGGGGUUAAGGAAGGGGACUAGUUUGAGGAAGGGAACUAGUUUGAGGAAGGGGACUAGUUUGAGGAAGGGGACUAGUUUGUAGGAGGGUAGGGGUUAAGGAAGGGGACUAGUUUGUGGGAGGGUAGGGGUUAAGGAAGGGGACUAGUUUGUAGGAGGGUAGGGGGUUAAGGAAGGGGACUAGUUUGUGGGAGGGUAGGGGUUAAGGAAGGGGACUAGUUUGUAGGAGGGUAGGGGUUAAGGAAGGGGACUAGUGUGUAGGAGGGUAGGGGUUAAGGAAGGGGACUAGUGUGUAGUAGGGUAGGGGUUAAGGAAGGGGACUAGUCUGUGGGAGGGGAAGGGGACUAGUGUGUAGUAGGGCAGGGGUUAAGGAAGGGGACUAGUUUGUGGGAGGGUAGGGGUUAAGGAAGGGGACUAGUUUGUGGGAGGGUAGGGGUUAAGGAAGGGGACUAGUUUGUUGUAGGGUAGGGGUUAAGGAAGGGGACUAGUUUGUAGUAGGGUAUGGGUUAAGGAAGGGGACUAGUUUGUAGUAGGGUAGAGGGUUAAGGAAGGGGACUAGUUUGUUGUAGGGUAGGGUAGGGGUUAAGGAAGGGGACUAGUUUGUUGUAGGGGUUAAGGAAGGGGACUAGUUUGUAGUAGGGUAGGGGUUAAGGAAGGGGACUAGUUUGUGGGAGGGUAGGGGUUAAGGAAGGGGACUAGUUUGUUGUAGGGUAGGGUAGGGGUUAAGGAAGGGGACUAGUUUGUGGGAGGGUAGGGGUUAAGGAAGGGGACUAGUUUGUGGGAGGUUAGGGGUUAAGGAAGGGGACUAGUUUGUGGGAGGUUAGGGGUUAAGGAAGGGGACUAGUUUGUAGUAGGGUAGGGGUUAAGGAAGGGGACUAGUCUGCAGGAGGGUAGGGGUUAAGGAAGGGGACUAGUUUGUAGGGGUUAGGGAAGUGGACUAGUGUGUAGGAGGGCAGGGGUUAAGGAAGGGGACUAGUUUGUGGGAGGGUAGGGGUUAAGGAAGGGGACUAGUUUGUAGUAGGGUAGGGGUUAAGGAAGGGGACUAGUCUGCAGGAGGGUAGCGGUUAAGGAAGGGGACUAGUUUGUAGGGGUUAGGGAAGUGGACUAGUGUGUAGGAGGGUAUGGGACCCGGCUAGCACCUGAGUGGAAUAUAAAGACAGUACGGUCAACUCUUUACAUGUGCUCCUCUGAUCCUACUGAUGGACUUCCAGACUCAGUAUCCCAGAAGCACUACUGCUGCUCACCACGAUUGAGGAGCUGUCCUGUAGUUUAUGAAGGCAGUAGGGUAGAGUUGCACCCUUUCCCUUUGUCUAAUGUUUUUACAGGUUGAAAUGUCUCGCUUUGGCCAAACUCUGCUUCUCUCAGUCUCUGGCUAGCUAGCCAGGCUACUGUUUCUGUAUAGGACCAGGCUAGGAGAGUUAGCAUGACUACUGUCUCUGUAUAGGACCAGGCUAGGAGAGUUAGCAUGACUACUGUCUCUGUAUAGGACCAGGCUAGGAGAGUUAGCAUGACUACUGUCUCUGUAUAGGACCAGGCUAGGAGAGUUAGCAUGACUACUGUUUCUGUAUAGGACCAGGCUAGGAGAGUUAGCAUGACUACUGUUUCUGUAUAGGACCAGGCUAGGAGAGUUAGCAUGACUACUGUUUCUGUAUAGGACCAGGCUAGGAGAGUUAGCAUGACUACUGUCUCUGUAUAGGACCAGGCUAGGAGAGUUAGCAUGACUACUGUUUCUGUAUAGGACCAGGCUAGGAGAGUUAGCAUGACUACUGUUUCUGUAUAGGACCAGGCUAGGAGAGUUAGCAUGACUACUGUUUCUGUAUAGGACCAGGCUAGGA
This is a long non-coding RNA of Oncorhynchus tshawytscha (Chinook salmon), 2167 nucleotides long. The record is from Ensembl. NCBI's taxonomy places the organism in Eukaryota, Metazoa, Chordata, Actinopteri, Salmoniformes, Salmonidae.